RNAcentral lists this ribosomal RNA (519 nucleotides) under uncultured bacterium. RNAcentral describes it as "bacterial SSU rRNA". It matches the Rfam family "Bacterial small subunit ribosomal RNA", at positions 777 to 1296 of the family's 1533-position model. The record is from RNAcentral.
AAUAGAUACCCUGGUAGUCCUAGCUAUAAACGAUGCAUACUAGGUGUAGGAGGGCUCAACCCUUUCUGUACCGGAGCUAACGCAUUAAGUAUGCCGCCUGGGGAGUACGCUCGCAAGGGUGAAACUCAAAAGAAUUGACGGGGGCCCGCACAAGCAGUGGAGCAUGUGGUUUAAUUCGAUGCAACGCGAAGAACCUUACCUGGGCUCGAAAUGCAGGGCGCGACACUAGAGAUAGUGUUUUCCGUAAGGAGUUUGUAUAGGUGCUGCAUGGCUGUCGUCAGCUCGUGCCGUGAGGUGUUUGGUUAAGUCCAGCAACGAGCGCAACCCUUAUCGUUAGUUACCAGCGCGUAAUGGCGGGAACUCUAGCGAGACUGCCUAGGUUAACUAGGAGGAAGGUGAGGAUGACGUCAAGUCCGCAUGGCCUUUAUGUCCAGGGCUACACACGUGCUACAAUGGUCGAUACAGAAGGCAGCGAAACCGUGAGGUGAAGCAAAUCCUGAAAAGUCGAUCUCAGUUCAG